CUAACUCAAAUUUGUAUGGAGUUGCAACGUUUGCCUACUUUUGCCGCUAGGGGCGCUGUUCCAACUGCAUACAAAUUUGAGUUA
This 84-nucleotide microRNA precursor is filed under the name Bombyx mori (domestic silkworm). Its description in RNAcentral is "mir-2807 microRNA precursor family". It matches the Rfam family "mir-2807 microRNA precursor family". Lineage: Eukaryota; Metazoa; Arthropoda; Insecta; Lepidoptera; Bombycidae. The record is from Rfam by way of RNAcentral.